UGUGUACACUGUGUAUUGUCACCUAAG
RNAcentral lists this unclassified non-coding RNA (27 nucleotides) under Mus musculus (house mouse). Its description in RNAcentral is "oocyte_clustered_small_RNA10124". The record is from RNAcentral. Lineage: Eukaryota; Metazoa; Chordata; Mammalia; Rodentia; Muridae.